CGUAGGGUGCGAGCGUUGUCCGGAAUUAUUGGGCGUAAAGAGCUUGUAGGCGGUUUGUCGCGUCUGCUGUGAAAAUCCGGGGCUCAACCCCGGACUUGCAGUGGGUACGGGCAGACUAGAGUGUGGUAGGGGAGACUGGAAUUCCUGGUGUAGCGGUGAAAUGCGCAGAUAUCAGGAGGAACACCGAUGGCGAAGGCAGGUCUCUGGGCCACUACUGACGCUGAGAAGCGAAAGCAUGGGGAGCGAACAGGAUUAGAUACCCUGGUAGUCCAUGCCGUAAACGUUGGGAACUAGGUGUGGGUCUCAUUCCACGAGAUCCGUGCCGCAGCUAACGCAUUAAGUUCCCCGCCUGGGGAGUACGGCCGCAAGGCUA
This 373-nucleotide ribosomal RNA is filed under the name uncultured organism. RNAcentral's name for it is "bacterial SSU rRNA". It matches the Rfam family "Bacterial small subunit ribosomal RNA", at positions 526 to 896 of the family's 1533-position model. The record is from RNAcentral.